GUGCUUACGCUAAGUUUAGGUGUGGAGUAGCGCCAAUCCGCGUCGAGACCGGGAGAUACGAGAACCUAAGAUUGCUAGAACGAACUUGCUUUUGCUGUCCUGAUUCCAUUGAAAACGAAGAACAUGUACUUUUAUUUUGCCCACUGUAUGAUGAUAUUAGGGACAGUUGUUUUAAUACUUUAAAUAUUGAUGGUUUUGAUAAUUUUUCUAGUCAAGAUAAGCUAUCUGUGAUUCUAGGUGGUGUUAACAAUAUACGUUUGUGUGCCAAAACCUGCAGAGACAUUUUAGAUAGGAGACGUAGAUUUUUAUAUACAUGUAGAUAGUUUUGUAUUUGCUUGUUUUUUAUUUUUUUAUUUUUUAAUAUUCUUAAAUUUUUAUUUUCUUUUUAAUUUUUAAUUUAUUUUUUUUUUAAAUUUUUUUUAGUAUAUAUAUAUAUUUAAUGUUUUAAGCGGUGUGAAAUUUGUUUGGAAUGUGUAAAUAAUCGUCUCUCAUAAUUCUAUAUGAAUGGCUUUUACAUAUGUGUAAUUUGUUUUAAUCAAUGUGUUAUGUAUUGCUUUGUAAAAGGUGAGACGUUAAUAAAAUAUUGUAUUGUA
Molecule: long non-coding RNA, 593 nt
Filed under: Mytilus galloprovincialis (Mediterranean mussel)
Lineage: Eukaryota; Metazoa; Mollusca; Bivalvia; Mytilida; Mytilidae
Source: RNAcentral